This 65-nucleotide transfer RNA is filed under the name Harpalus sp. RNAcentral describes it as "tRNA-Ala". The record is from RNAcentral. Lineage: Eukaryota; Metazoa; Arthropoda; Insecta; Coleoptera; Carabidae.
AGGAUAAUAUUUAAUAAUAAUAUUUGAAUUGCACUCAAAAGAUGUUGAAAUAUCAACUUAUCUUA